GCGUGGCGCUCUUGGCACAAGCGGAAAAUAAAGGCUUCCCGGAGCGGUAACGGGGCUGUACGCUGGUCCCAUGGAGAUGCCUUGGUCUGCGGGCAACGGUCGCACGGAAGGGCGGGGGCCGCCCCCGCCGUUGGUUUCGCCCACGCCCCCCUCCCCCCCGCCUCCCCCGGGAGCCCGUGACAGGUGGAGCGGGCCCCGCCGGCGCGCGCGCGCCCUCGCGGCUGUCACGUGGCGCGGAGCGCCGCCGCGCGCUUCGCGCGAGAGGCGCGGCAAGUCUCGCGAUGCCUCGAGGGCCUCGGGGCGUGAGGGCGGGGAGGGCCCGGCCCGGGCCCGGCGGGAGCGGUGCGAGAAGCGCGAAGGACGGGAAUGGCAACACCGGGGAGUUCGGGCUUCUGGGCACGCCUCGCGUGUGAGUAAAGCUCUGGAUUUCUUCAGGCGCGGGAAGGAAAGAUAGUUUGCUGCUUGCUUUCCCUGCUUCGUAAGGCUUAGCGCAGCUCCAGCCCGACCUGUAGAUGAAGCGUUACCUUGGCAUCGUAGACUGACUGGGGAUUUGAAAGGUCAUCUCGUCCCAGCCGCCUGCCAUGGGCACGGACACCUUCUGCUAGACCCGGUUGCUCAGAGUCCCAUCCAACCUGGCCUUGAACGCUUCUGGGAAUGGUUCAUCCACGCUCCUGUGCCUCCAGACCAUCCUUGGGUUUCUCCACCCUUCCCAGCUCAACCAGGAACCCAAGGGACCGCGUUUCUCCUGGCCACACAGCCAGGAGGCUUUAGUGCUUUUUAAGUGGAUCCUUACAUGUUUUCUGGUCCUGAUGGUGCAGAGACGCUGGCAGGAAUGGAGACCUGGUCAAGACAAAGUCUUAAAUAAUGCAAAUGAAGACUCAGAGUAGUGUGUCCAUGCGGCUCUUAAAAGCAGUGCCUUGUAAUGUAGCUCUGCUUUCUGAUGCAAAUGCAGGAAGAACAAAAAAAAGCAUGUGGGUUUGAUGAUGUUGCAUUUCUUCAUGAAAGAGUCAGCAGCCAGUUUGUUGAGAGUAUUGGUAUAAGAGAAGGCAUUUGUGUUUAAAGGACUUGCAAGUCUGAAAUCCAGAUAAAAUGCAAGUUGUUUUUGGUUCUGGGAAGGGGCCAUGGUCUGUUAAUAGUGGAAACACUAUGAUCAAACAUCUGUGUUCAUCUGUAUCGUCCAUGGCUUCUCUCAGCAGAGUUUCCUCAGGUGCCAAAAUCAGUGCCAAGAGCUGACCGGGUGGGAAUGUGCCAUAAGUGUGGGGUUUCAAUGCAGAGUGUUUCUCAGUCUUGACUCUCAGGUGUAAAGUUUCCACUUUGCAGUAUCCUGAGUAUAAAUCAGCAGAAAGGAGAGUAGACAAAACCAUUUCUCAGUGGAAGGAAGGGAUUGCUGAACAACAGAGCAAAUCAAGAGACUUAGAAGCAGAGUCCUAGUCCAGCUGGAACUUGUGUGCACUUGAAGUCACAAGCCCUGAGUUACCUCUCUGGUACUGUCAGUGCCACUCUUAACCCCCAUACCCUGGCUGAAUUGCUGGCAUUGAACUUCCAGAUGCCUUUAUUUAUUUAUUUGUUUGUUUAUUUAUUUAUUUGCUGUCACUUCCAAGUCAGGUAGGAAAUUUGAAGGAGCAGUAGAUCAGUUGGAUAUAAUUCAGAUCUCAUGGUCCUGUGUAGCCCAGGCAUACUUUACUGUCACCUGCAGCAAGAUCCAUCCCUGGAAAAACUGUGGUGUUUGAAGCUGGGUAUAUCAGUUCAUAUUGGUUUGGUUUUCAUUCCUGCUUUUGGAAGUUCUGGGCAGCUGCAAGCCUUGACCAGCUAAGCAAAUGAGGGCAGAGGUCAUCUCCUUACCCAAGAGUCUGAAAAAGGUCAGGAGCCAUGUGUGAUCUCUGCUGAUGCUGUUUAAGGAAGGAUUUUGAGGUGUGGAGUCACCAUUGUGCUCCCAAUAGCUCAGGAGGCCUCUGACUAUGAGGCAAAUCCUUUUGCAGCAGAGCAGGCAAAAUGUGAUGAGACAACCUUGGAUUCACGUGACAACGUGACAUGAAAGACAGCAACAAAAAAGCAGACUGACCAACAGAACCCACAGGAUGCCAUUUUGUGUCCUGCAAAACAUAAAUCUGAUACUUAUAUUGUUGCCAUCUUGAUACAUUUUAGUCAGCCUGCCUGAAAUAUGUGGGUAUUUGGCUUGUGAGGGAAAGCAGCAUAAACUAGUAAAAUGUGCCAAUGGGUCAGUUAGGGAGAAAGCAGUUUCAUUAACACAUCUCUUUUUCUGCUUUUGUUUUCCUUACUGUUGUUUUCUUUUACUCCAAGGUUAAAGAAGAAAAGCUUAAAUUACUAAACUAUUUUCUUGAUAUUUGGAACAAAAAAUCCUGUGUGCUUCCUUUUUGUACUUUAGCAGUGGCUUUUCUUUUGUCCAGGAGUUCGUAGUAAAAUUACCUGCAAUUUACAUGUUCCUUGUACUACCCUUGUUAAAUUUCUGGUGGGUGUUGUGUGAUGAUCUGUGUUUUGACAGCAUAUGGUGGUCAAGAAACUGGGGAAGCUGAUCUAAACCCCAAGGUUUUGGGUUGUUUUUAGUUGGUUUUUUUUUUCCCCACAGAAAAAGGCAAAUGCUUUUGCUGGUAAUAAGAAAAACCAAUACAUGGAUAGGAGAAUUAUUAUUGAAAAUAGGAAAAAAGUCAUCACGAUGCUGUUUAUCACUAUGUUGAAGAAAAAAUUGCUUUUUAAUCUCAGGAAUACUUUCCUAGCUUUGGGUAGUAAGGGGAGCGAACUAGUCUAGGAAAUUGGUUAUUAUAAAGAAAGAAAAUACAGGGUUUUUUUUUAAUUAAAGUUUUAAAAAAUCAAGGCUAAAUGCUUUGGUUAUAGACCUUAAUUAUUAUUGUUCUGUCUUGUUUGAACAAUGUAGUCAUUUUUGUCUAUUGUCCUCUCUGACUUUGGUUAGCAUGAGUUUAAAACCUGGAUUGUCUUUGAAAGUCUUAAUGCUGGAAUUCAUCUGGGGGUGAAGUGGUAAUUCAUGGUCAUAAGAAGUCCACACAGUCAUCAGGUAAGCAUUAAAAUCCAUCCCUGUGCAGCAGCAUGUCAGCAAUUCAGUCCAAACAUGGAAAACUGAAUUUGUGUCCUCACCUCGACUGCAUUCUGAGCUGUUGGAUGGCAUUCAGAAAGCAGGGCAUUUUGGGGUGUUCUGUACAUUUGCUGUGUAAGAGAGACCAGUUCUGGCCAUGCCAGCAUGAGCACAGAGACCCCUUUGCUGAAGCUCUACCAGUGGAGGAAACAACUGUUGGAAUAUCUGUAUCCUAUUUUUGCACUGUAUAAAUUUGUGUAAUGCUAACUGGCAGUUUCUGCUGACUUGGAGAAAUAAAUAAUAUGAAAAAUUAUACUUGUCCAGGAGGUGGUUCCUUUACAGUGCUACUGUUGGUAGAUUUUACAUCUUUUUUCAAUUGUGCCUGUUCCUCCCACCUCCAGCACUUUUGGUUGUGUCUUUGGUGUGCAUUCCAAAUGUGGAAAUGCUUUCAUUUAUGGUAAUAGUUUUAGGUGAAUGUCUGUCUUAUCCCUAGGAACCAGAUGUGACAGUUUAUGACUUGCCACCUUCCAGAGAAAUCACUUGUUUGACAGGAGAUGAUCCUGAACAAGGAUCUCUGCUCUUCCAGAACAGUGCAGAGAAACUGAAAUUUCUUGUGUUUCAUGUGUUUCCAUGCAGAAAUUUGAGAAGCUUUUCUCUGUUGAGAAGCUGAUAAUAAAAUACUGUGUUUAUAUUAACUUGUCUUCAGAUUGACAGUUGUAACUUAAUAGAAUUUGGCAAAUGCUGUAAAGAAGAGGAAAAAAAAAAUCCCAUCUUUUUGUUUCUGUGGUGUUUUUAUAUGUAUUGACUUAAUAAUAGUUGCUGGGCUGAUACCUUUGUAGCCUACUGGUUUUCUGGCUUGGAAGUGAAAAACAAACCACAUUUAUAAACCAGCUCUGAGCAAAAUUAUGAGGGUUUUUGUGUAAACAUUUGAAAAAAGCCAAUCCUGAUGCUCAGCAAACCAGGUGAAUGGAUAUCUUGUUAGCUUUUGUUAAUCCUGGGAUAGAAUCCAAUAUUAUCCAAAAUACUUGAUUAUCUGCUAUUUUUGUUUUUCUCCAAGAGCAGAGGAUGUCACGUGCUCUUACUGCAUUUAAUUUAGUGUUUCAUACACAAAUCUUUUUGAGAAAGUAUCUGGGAAUUACUUAUUUUAAAAGCCUCAACAGUUGUGUAUGUUGCUUUUUGUUAACAUUUAUGUCCAUGUCUAAAAGGACAAAAAUCUUCAAUAACCAAUCUAAACACUCUUGGCUGUAGUCUCUCUUCUCUGUUCAUUUCUUACAUCAGCCACUUUUAAAAUCGGGUGUUUUGCACAUGGUAGACACUAAAUCUUGUAAUGGUGCGCAGGUGAGAGUUUUAAAGGUGCAAACAGCAGAAGCAGCUUUGGGACUUUGGGUGUGGCAGAGUCAAAGCCUUGGCUCAAGACUAAACACAAACAAUGACAGUUCUCCAUCCUUGUCCAAGCAGUUCAGGAUUCCCUCGCAGCAAUGGGUGAGUCAGGGCAUUUCAAAUGAAAUAAAGCACCAUGCUUCAAUCUGCAGACUUAGUUGCUGUAGGACGACACUCUUAUAUUUUGAAGCUUCCCGAAAUGAGGUGGCAUUCCAUUAAUUUGAUGUAUAGGAUACAGUGGGGUUGUACUCAAAGCAUGUAAAUGUGUUCAUCCUAUGUAACUGGAAGAUAAGCAAAACACCGAACUGAAACUUUUUUUUGUUAAGUUUGCUAUUUUCAAGAGGCGGGUUAUGAUUAGAAUUUCUCUAGGAGUGCUCCACUGUGUCUUCUGCAUGUCAAUGAGAGUUGGAUCAGACCUCUCACAGAGCUGCAAGCACCAGGAUGAUGUGAGGAAGACAAGUAGUUUCUACCACAGCUUGACAUUCAUAAAAUCCAAAGCUAACCCUGCCUUUAAGUACAUUUUUCCUUGCUUCCCCCUUCAGGUGCACUUCAGUUGAGAACCUGUGAAACAGGAAAUCCCUAGGAAUGACUGGGAGAAUUUCCCAUCUUAUAGUUUCUCAAGGUACAGUUUGGUUUCUGUUUGGAAGUUUGCAGUUGUGUAUUUGUAUAAAUAUACUCAGUGCUACUGAAGUCAGUUUAUGAGAUGUUCUUCUCUAAUGGUGUUUUGGUUUGGCUUUUGUCUGUAAAUGAGUCCUGUGGUGUUUUCUCUUGUGAGGAAAGUCAAAACAGUGUUUUUCUCCAUGGAUAAGUAAUCCCAAACUGAAAGCUGAGUGAGAGGAAGGAAAUUGCCAUUAGUCUCAAUGAGACAAAAGUUUCUUGGGAAUUGGGGUAGCAAAGGGAAGCUUCACUGAGAAUCUGCAAUGUUUUCCAAAGCCCUGAUACCCUUAACUUGGUGCUCUUUCUGCCACUGGUGGAUACACAAAAUUUCACUGGAAAUUGUGAAUUCACAUCUUCACAUAACAAAAUACUUGUCCCAUGGCUUCUUAGUAUCACUGAGAACAAAGUCCCUUUAAUAUUCCUUCCUCUCAAUCAAAAAUAUCCACAUCCCCUGCUGAACUCAGAUGCUUACAUGUAGGUAUCCCAGCUACUCCAGUCUGGUCUAGAGACCAUUAAAGUAAUGAUGCAACUGACACUAUUUUAAAGACAUGAAAGUUUGAAAGUGCAUUGUUAACAUUUCUUCCACAUGAAAGUUUGAAAGUGUACAGAUACAUUUCUUCCCAAGGGUAAUCUAUACAAAAAAGGACCAGGAUAGAGUCUUGAGAAAUUAUAUUGGUCCUGUUCAGAUCAUAGUUUUUGUUUCCUGUACAAAGAAGAAGAUAAGUGUGUGAUUUUUAAGUACUUCUGUUGUCUAUCAUGUAAUUGGUUUGGGAUUUUUAGUAAGUGAUUGGUUUUGUUUUUAUUACAUAUUCCUUCAGUGCAGGCAUAUUUCUAAUGAAUAAUUCCACCAUCCCAAGGAUGUGAACCUGCAGGUUCUGGAAUAUCUUCUGAAGAGACUUUCUGCUCAGUAAACAUCAAGUCCCAUUUUUAAUGGAUCAGUCCAGAUAAGCUUUCAACAUUUAAAUGCUUAUCAGAGUUCCUUUAUUCAGGAAACCAAACAAGACACAGGUUUUCUUGUAAAUUCAGCGUUGUUCCUGGUUUCUGUUACAUCAACCCAUGUUAAAUGAGACAUCCUGCACUGUUUAUGCUUCUGUCUCUCUGAAAACAACUGAAUACAAUAUAUAUGAUCACUGAAGAGCAAAACACCUGCUGUUAAGCCUCUUCUAUGAUUUUUUCAUAUUUAUUUGGGGUUACUAAUUUUGCAAUGUAGGUGCUUCUUGUCAGCGGUCUGCAAAAAACACAUGGGAAAUACAAGUAGGAGGAUCACAGUUUCUGUCUCCCAGGUGGAGUGGUUUGGCUCCAAACCCUGCCAUGGGUGGGUGGUUUGGUGCUGUACAAGAAAGGGAGAUCCCAACAGCAGCUGGUGGUGCCCAGCAGUGGAGCAGGAGGAACAAGCAGGAACUGAUGCCCAGAAGUUCCACUUGAACAUGAGGAAGAAUUUCUUCUCCUGUGCAGUGACUGAGCACUGAACAGAUUGUCCAGAGAGGGUGUGGAGCCUCCCACACUGGAGAUCUCCCCUCUGGACACAAUCCUGUGCUGUGUGCUCUGGGGUGACCCUGCUUGAGCAGGGAGGUGAGAUCAGGUGACCCAUGGUGGUCCUCUCCAGCCUGACCCAUCCUGUGAGAGGGAAGAGCCAAGUGUGUGAGGAGGGUUUGAGCAGUGGUUGGACAGAGGCCUUUUCUGUAGCUCAAUUCUUCUGACCAGUCACUUACUCCAUCUCUUCUUUCUGUCCCUGUUGUGUUUUCCACUAAAUGUGUAGAACGUGAAUGUUGUGUUCAAAUGACAAAGUGUCUGACAAAAAGCAGAAAUGAUCAUGUGGUUUGGGGUUGGUUUGGUUUUUCCCCCCAGUCUUAGCCAAACAAAUGACUGUAUCAGCACUUUGUCAGAAAUGACACAGCUGGUCACAAAAAUGAUGGUGCCUCAGGAGGGGUCCCGUGACAUUUAUUUGGGAAAAGCACCCCUUGCUUCUGACAGUCCCCUCUCUGCCUCUGUUACUAACCCUGUGCCAUCCCUCACAUACUGAUUUAAGUGUUUGCAAAGCUAUAUUGGAAACUGAGGCAAAGUCAUUGAAAUAGCCUAGAUUAAAAAAAAAAAAAUAAACCAGCCUCCACCCCGCUCCAAAAAAA
Pyrgilauda ruficollis (rufous-necked snowfinch) is the source of this 7212-nucleotide RNA transcript. It is a transcript of the gene named ubiquitin carboxyl-terminal hydrolase 51-like, with no coding region annotated. Lineage: Eukaryota; Metazoa; Chordata; Aves; Passeriformes; Passeridae. The record is from RefSeq and is a predicted model, not a curated record. The transcript is spliced from 2 exons.